CGCCCGUUUGUGUUGGCAGUUUUCAAAGGUGAGGGCCGGAUAAACAAGGAGCCUCUCUGCCGGAGCUGGGGCUCCGAGAACGGGGUGUCCUGAGCCCGCCAGAGAGAGCCUGUUACACAAAGUCCCUCCCUCCGUGUCCAGGACUCGCAUGAUCAGAUCCCUGGCCGCAGCCCAGUCUUCCCUGAGGAAGCAACGCACGACAGAUGAACAGGCUCUUUCUGAUUUGGUCAUCAUGGGUGUUUUGUGAAAGAAAACCCUGGAAGAUGGCUUUAGUGUGCAGGAGAACAAAGGAUCCAGGCAGAAGAUUGUCUGGGAGAAGGUGGCCCCCAUGCCAUGAGGACACACAAGCAGCGCUGUGGGGACACACACCUAGAGAAGAACUGGGAGCUCCCACCAAUAACCAGCACCAACUUGCCAGUCAGGUGAGUGAGGCAUCUUGGAAGUGGCUCCUCCAUCCCCAGUCGAGCCUGCAGAUGAUGCAGCCCCACCCAACAUCUUAACUGCCACUUUAUGACAGACCCUGAGCCAGAACCACCCAGCCAAGUUGCCCACAAACUCCUGACCCACGGAA
Long non-coding RNA from Felis catus (domestic cat), 571 nucleotides. RefSeq lists it as uncharacterized. NCBI's taxonomy places the organism in Eukaryota, Metazoa, Chordata, Mammalia, Carnivora, Felidae. The transcript is spliced from 3 exons. The record is from RefSeq and is a predicted model, not a curated record.